Molecule: ribosomal RNA, 253 nt
Filed under: uncultured bacterium
Lineage: Bacteria
Description: partial 16S ribosomal RNA
Rfam family: Bacterial small subunit ribosomal RNA
Source: RNAcentral
UACGUAGGGUGCGAGCGUUUAUCGGAAUUACUGGGCGUAAAGCGUGCGCAGGCGGUUUUGUAAGCCAGAUGUGAAAUCCCCGGGCUUAACCUGGGAAUGGCAUUUGGGACUGCAAGGCUGGAGUGUGGCAGAGGAGACUGGAAUUCCUGGUGUAGCAGUGAAAUGCGUAGAUAUCAGGAGGAAUACCGAUGGCGAAGGCAGGUCUCUGGGCUGACACUGACGCUCAUGCACGAAAGCGUGGGGAGCAAACAGG